Molecule: ribosomal RNA, 376 nt
Filed under: uncultured organism
Description: partial 16S ribosomal RNA
Rfam family: Bacterial small subunit ribosomal RNA
Source: RNAcentral
GUAGGUGGCAAGCGUUGUCCGGAAUUAUUGGGCGUAAAGCGCGCGCAGGUGGUUCUUUAAGUCUGAACUGUGAAAGCCCCCGGGCUCAACCGGGGAGGGUCAUUGGAAACUGGGGAACUUGAGUGCAGGAGAGGAAAGUGGAAUUCCACGUGUAGCGGUGAAAUGCGUAGAUAUGUGGAGGAACACCAGUGGCGAAGGCGACUUUCUGGCCUGUAACUGACACUGAGGCGCGAAAGCGUGGGGAGCAAACAGGAUUAGAUACCCCUGGUAGUCCACGCCGUAAACGAUGAGUGCUAAGUGUUGGGGGGUUUCCGCCCCUCAGUGCUGCAGCUAACGCAUUAAGCACUCCGCCUGGGGAGUACGGUCGCAAAGACUG